This 460-nucleotide ribosomal RNA is filed under the name uncultured bacterium. RNAcentral describes it as "partial 16S ribosomal RNA". It matches the Rfam family "Bacterial small subunit ribosomal RNA", at positions 338 to 795 of the family's 1533-position model. The record is from RNAcentral.
CCUACGGGUGGCAGCAGUGAGGAAUAUUGGUCAAUGGACGAGAGUCUGAACCAGCCACGUAGCGUGAAGGAUGACUGCCCUAUGGGUUGUAAACUUCUUUUAUAUGGGAAUAAAAUGUUCCACGUGUGGGAUUUUGUAUGUCCCAUAUGAAUAAGGAUCGGCUAACUCCGUGCCAGCAGCCGCGGUAAUACGGAGGAUCCGAGCGUUAUCCGGAUUUAUUGGGUUUAAAGGGAGCGUAGGUGGAUUGUUAAGUCAGUUGUGAAAGUUUGCGGCUCAACCGUAAAAUUGCAGUUGAAACUGGCAGUCUUGAGUACAGUAGAGGUGAGCGGAAUGCGUGGUGUAGCGGUGAAAUGCUUAGAUAUCACGAAGAACUCCGAUUGCGAAGGCAGUUCACUGGACUGCAACUGACACUGAGGCUCGAAAGUGUGGGUAUCAAACAGGAUUAGAUACCCUUGUAGUC